AAUGAACGUUGGCGGCGUGGAUUAGGCAUGCAAGUCGAGCGAGAACCGUAGCAAUACGGGGACAGCGGCGUAAGGGAGAGUAAUACGUGGAUACCUACCCUCGGGUCCGGGAUAGCUGCGGGAAACUGCAGGUAAUACCGGAUGACAUCUCCGGAUCAACGGUGUGAUUCCGCCCGGGGAGGGGUCCGCGUCCUAUUAGCUAGUUGGUGAGGUAACGGCUCACCAAGGCUGUGAUGGGUACGGGGUUUGAGAGCAUGCCCCCGCUCACUGGGGCUGAGACACUGCCCAGACACCUACGGGUGGCUGCAGUCGAGAAUCUUCGGCAAUGGUCGCAAGCCUGACCGAGCGACGCCGCGUGCGAGAUGAAGGCCUUCGGGUUGUAAAUCGCUGUCAGAGGGGAGGAAAUGCCGGUGGGUUCUCUCAUCGGUUUGACCUAUCCUCAGAGGAAGGACGGGCUAAGUUCGUGCCAGCCGCCGCGGUAA
Molecule: ribosomal RNA, 482 nt
Filed under: uncultured bacterium
Lineage: Bacteria
Description: partial 16S ribosomal RNA
Rfam family: Bacterial small subunit ribosomal RNA
Source: RNAcentral